CUGGCAGGGUUGUUAAGGCAGUCAAUCGCAUGAUAGAGAACAUGGUGCAAAAACCACUCACCAAGGGUUUUGUUGAAGGGGUCAAUAGAAGGUCACUGUCUUUACUCAACUUAUUUUAGAUAGAAAAAUAAUAGAGACUUAGGUGCUGUGGUAUACUUUGCUUUAAUGCAUGCAGUAUGACUUGUCAUGAGAUGUGUUCCAAGAUCUUAUAUGGUGUAAAAGGCAUCAUACACACUGGAAGAGGCAGUAGCCUGAUCAACUGCUGUUUUCUUUUAACUUACAUUGUAAGUAGCUUUCUAUGCUGUGAAUGGGAAAUAGAGUUUCCAGGGUUAUCUUGGACCAAGUGAACAAGAGCUUUGUUUUGUAUAUCUUUUGUUUCUUUUCUACCCUCUAUGUUUUGAGGAUUUUGGCGAAAUUAAAGAGGGGUGAAUGUAACAGGUUAAUGAAUGACACAUAUUUGUGCAAUCUUUCAUUUUCUAUUUUGUGUAUAUGUAAUUUUAUUUCACCAAAAUCUUGGUUUCUUUCAUGAUAGCUAGGUAUUAGGCCUAUCAUUUGUUGGGUAAGUGCGCCCUCUAUUGGUUGGUUUGGUGGUUACAGGCUGCAUUUUCGUGCCUUGCUCAGUAUGUGUUUUGCUUGGCAACGAGAGAGCUACAUUCUGCAUACUGGAAGAGAAAGUAAAGUGAUUAAAAGAA
Long non-coding RNA from Clupea harengus (Atlantic herring), 692 nucleotides. RefSeq lists it as uncharacterized. Lineage: Eukaryota; Metazoa; Chordata; Actinopteri; Clupeiformes; Clupeidae. The transcript is spliced from 2 exons. The record is from RefSeq and is a predicted model, not a curated record.